UUGCUUCAGCAGCACAUAUACUAAAAUUGGAAUGAUGCAGAGAUCAACACGGCCCCUAUGCAAGGAUGACAAGCAAACUCGUGAAGAGUUGCAUAUUUUU
RNAcentral lists this small nuclear RNA (100 nucleotides) under Phasianus colchicus (ring-necked pheasant). Lineage: Eukaryota; Metazoa; Chordata; Aves; Galliformes; Phasianidae. The record is from RNAcentral.